Molecule: microRNA precursor, 78 nt
Filed under: Chlorocebus sabaeus (green monkey)
Lineage: Eukaryota; Metazoa; Chordata; Mammalia; Primates; Cercopithecidae
Description: miRNA (ENSCSAG00000021170.1)
Source: RNAcentral
AGAUUCAGAACUCGUGUUCGAAGCCUGUAGCCCAGCAAUGGGAGAGGGCUAAAGGCUUUAAACACGAGUUCUGAAUCU